RNAcentral lists this ribosomal RNA (387 nucleotides) under uncultured bacterium. RNAcentral describes it as "bacterial SSU rRNA". It matches the Rfam family "Bacterial small subunit ribosomal RNA", at positions 28 to 418 of the family's 1533-position model. The record is from RNAcentral.
GACGAACGCUGGCGGCGUGCUUAACACAUGCAAGUCGAACGAUGAAGCCUUUCGGGGUGGAUUAGUGGCGAACGGGUGAGUAACACGUGGGUAAUCUGCCUUGCACUCUGGGAGUAAGCCUGGGAAACUGGGUCUAAUACCGGAUAUGACUACUUCACGCAUGUGGGGUGGUGGAAAGUUCUGGCGGUGUGAGAUGAACCCGCGGCCUAUCAGCUUGUUGGUGGGGUGAUGGCCUACCAAGGCGACGACGGGUAGCCGGCCUGAGAGGGCGACCGGUCACACUGGGACUGAGACACGGCCCAGACUCCUACGGGAGGCAGCAGUGGGGAAUAUUGCACAAUGGGCGAAGGCCUGAUGCAGCGACGCCGCGUGAGGGAUGACGGCCUC